UAGGGAAUCUUCGGCAAUGGACGAAAGUCUGGCCGAGCAACGCCGCGUGAGUGAAGAAGGUUUUCGGAUCGUAAAACUCUGUUGGUAGAGAAGAACGUUGGUGAGAGUGGAAAGCUCAUCAAGUGACGGUAACUACCCAGAAAGGGACGGCUAACUACGUUCCAG
RNAcentral lists this ribosomal RNA (165 nucleotides) under uncultured bacterium. Its description in RNAcentral is "partial 16S rRNA". It matches the Rfam family "Bacterial small subunit ribosomal RNA", at positions 355 to 511 of the family's 1533-position model. The record is from RNAcentral.